GACGAACGCUGGCGGCGUGCUAAACACAUGCAAGUCGAACGGAAAGGCCCUGCUUGCAGGGUACUCGAGUGGCGAACGGGUGAGUAACACGUGGGUGAUCUGCCCUGCACUUCGGGAUAAGCCUGGGAAACUGGGUCUAAUACCGGAUAGGAGCCAUUUUUAGUGUGAUGGUUGGAAAGUUUUUUUCGGUGUAGGAUGAGCUCGCGGCCUAUCAGCUUGUUGGUGGGGUAAUGGCCUACCAAGGCGGCGACGGGUAGCCGGCCUGAGAGGGUGGACGGCCACAUUGGGACUGAGAUACGGCCCAGACUCCUACGGGAGGCAGCAGUGGGGAAUAUUGCACAAUGGGCGCAAGCCUGAUGCAGCGACGCCGCGUGGGGGAUGACGGCCUUCGGGUUGUAAACUCCUUUCGCUAGGGACGAAGCUUUUUGUGACGGUACCUAGAUAAGAAGCACCGGCUAACUACGUG
This 466-nucleotide ribosomal RNA is filed under the name uncultured bacterium. RNAcentral describes it as "partial 16S ribosomal RNA". It matches the Rfam family "Bacterial small subunit ribosomal RNA", at positions 28 to 507 of the family's 1533-position model. The record is from RNAcentral.